UAUGUACACCAUGAUGUGUGUGUAUGUGUACAUAUGCACAUUUGUGUGUGCAUAUACAUGUGCACAUUCAUGAGCAAAUGUGCG
This 84-nucleotide microRNA precursor is filed under the name Microtus ochrogaster (prairie vole). RNAcentral describes it as "miRNA (ENSMOCG00000007940.1)". Lineage: Eukaryota; Metazoa; Chordata; Mammalia; Rodentia; Cricetidae. The record is from RNAcentral.